CCUACGGGAGGCAGCAGUGGGGAAUAUUGCACAAUGGGGGAAACCCUGAUGCAGCGACGCCGCGUGAGUGAAGAAGUAAUUCGUUACGUAAAGCUCUAUCAGCAGGGAAGAAACACUGACCUUACGGUCAGCAGACGGUACCUGAGUAAGAAGCCCCGGCUAACUACGUGCCAGCAGCCGCGGUAAUACGUAGGGGGCAAGCGUUAUCCGGUUUUACUGGGUGUAAAGGGAGAGUAGACGGUGCGCCAAGUCUGGAGUGAAAUGCCGCAGCUUAACUGCGGAACUGCUUUGGAAACUGGCGAACUAGAGUGCGGGAGGGGUAAGCGGAAUUCCUAGUGUAGCGGUGAAAUGCGUAGAUAUUAGGAGGAACACCGGUGGCGAAGGCGGCUUACUGGACCGUAACUGACGUUGAGGCUCGAAAGCGUGGGGAGCAAACAGGAUUAGAUACCCGGGUAGUC
This 458-nucleotide ribosomal RNA is filed under the name uncultured bacterium. RNAcentral's name for it is "partial 16S ribosomal RNA". It matches the Rfam family "Bacterial small subunit ribosomal RNA", at positions 338 to 795 of the family's 1533-position model. The record is from RNAcentral.